UACGGAAGAUGCGAGCGUUAUCCGGAUUCAUUGGGUUUAAAGGGAGCGUAGGCGGCCCGUUAAGUCAGCGGUUAAAUGUCAUCGCCCAACGAUGUCAUGCCGUUGAUACUGGUGGGCUUGAAUACACACAAGGAAGGUGGAAUUCGUCGUGUAGCGGUGAAAUGCUUAGAUAUGACGAAGAACUCCGAUUGCGAAGGCAGCCUUCUGGGGUGCGAUUGACGCUGAGGCUCGAAAGUGCGGGGAUC
Molecule: ribosomal RNA, 245 nt
Filed under: uncultured Paraprevotella sp.
Lineage: Bacteria; Pseudomonadati; Bacteroidota; Bacteroidia; Bacteroidales; Prevotellaceae
Description: partial 16S ribosomal RNA
Rfam family: Bacterial small subunit ribosomal RNA
Source: RNAcentral